CUUCUCCAUUUAAUUUUUAUUUUAAUUCAACAUCGAGGUCGCAAUCAUUAUUUUUAAUAUGAUCUUAAAAAUAAUAUUACGCUGUUAUCCCUAAGGUAAUUAAUUCUAUUAUAAUUUUUAAAUUAUUAAACUCAUACAAUUUUUCAUUCAUUAAUGUUUCUCAUUAAUAUUAAUUAAAUAAAUAAUUACACUGAUAUAAUAAAGUUAAA
RNAcentral lists this ribosomal RNA (209 nucleotides) under Gesomyrmex sp. MC-1995. RNAcentral describes it as "partial 16S ribosomal RNA". Lineage: Eukaryota; Metazoa; Arthropoda; Insecta; Hymenoptera; Formicidae. The record is from RNAcentral.